CUCUUUUCUAUUAUUGAUCAACACAUUUUCCACUGUUAAACAGUCCUUUAAAGGGAAACAGGGGAGUUUGCAAAAUAGAUUAAAUAUAAAAGUUAUUAAAUGUGAAAAAGGAUUUAGCAAAUUUUAUAUCUACAUUAAGACAGAGGGGCAGAUACAGAUGUCUAAAAGCUGAAUGAACUGAAAUAAUUCAGCAAGAGCAGAGAAAAGGAGUGAUGUCACUAUGAGGAAGUGAGCAGGAAGUUGAUGCUGUGUUCAUCUCUGAGACUGUCUCAUUUGUGAACGUGAGAGCAAGAACAGAGACUGAGAGAGACAGAGAAGCACGAUGGCUGCAUUCACAUGGAUUCAAAUGUCUUCAUUACUGAUACUGAUGCUUCAGUUUAAAGGAACAACUGAGCAACAUCAAACUGUUCAAACUGUCACAGCUGGACGUGGACAUGAUGUUACUCUGCCUUGUAAAAAUGUGAUACAAGGUCAGCAUAACUGUAUCAGUACUACCUGGAUCUUCAGUGAUUCAAGCAGCUCAGUAGAACUCUUUGAACUUGGGCAGAAUAAAGAAGUCAAACCUGAAUCAGACAGACUGAGUCUUUCUGCAGACUGUUCUCUGGUUAUAAAGAAGGUCACAGAUCAGGAUGUUGGUCGUUACACCUGCAGACAGUUCAAAACAGCAACAGGAUCACAAGAAGGUCCAGACUUUAUGAUUCAUCUGUCUGUUAUUAACAAGCCGGUAACAACAAAAUCAACAACAGUGAAGUCCACCAAAAAAACAUCAUCGACAACAAAAUCCACAACAUCAACAAUUAAACCACCUGUGAAAAUAAACACAUUGACAACAAAAGAGGAAGUAAAGACAUCGCUGACAACAACAUCAAAUCAACCAGACGAUGUGAAAACAACUAAAUCAACAACAGUGAAGUUCACCACAAAAACAUCAUCGACAACAAAAUCCACAACAUCAACAAUUAAACCAACCGUGAAAAGAAACACAAGGACAACAAGAGAGGAAUUAAAGACAUCAGCAGGGACACUGACAACAGCAUCAAAUAAUCCAUCUGGAGUUCAUUCAGGGUUUAUCAUUGUUCCUGUGGGUUUAGCAGCUCUCUUAAUAACUGUUGUGAUGAUCAUCAGAUGGAAGAAAACUAAAGAAAAAAAAACACAAUGUGGCAACAACACGGGACUGAGCUUAAAUCCUGCAGAUACUCAGUCUGGUCCAGGAUCCAGUCAGGACACGGCAUAUGCUGAUGAUGGUGUUUCCUACGUCUCCAUCAGCUUCACCAAGAAGACCAAGAAUAAAUCCAGGUCCCGUGGUGAUGGUGAUGAAGGUGACACUGUGACCUACAGCACUGUGAAAGCUUCCUCUUCACCUGCUGGAGUUUCCACUGAUCCCAACAACCUCUACUCCACCAUCAAUUACGCAAGGAAAUAGGAUGUUAGUCAUGCUAAGUUUUUUAACUAUAUAGAUAGAUAGAUAGAUAGAUAGAUAGAUAGAUAGAUAGAUAGAUAGAUAGAUAUUUUUUCAGUUCACUUAUUAGUUUUGGUAACUCUGAGUCAAACAUUAAGUCUGAUUAUGUUUACUUGAGAAUACAAAGACUGCAGGAUUACUUUUUCAUACCACUGCAUGUGCUCAUAGAUUCAGUGGAUUACUUUGAACAAGGUGAACAUUAUAACAUUGAAUAUUAUUACAUUAAUAUUCACCUUAAGGUUUCUUAAAUCGAUUUAGGUCAUUUUUUAAUUUUUUUUAAGUAGAAUAUAAAAACAAGUAAACAAAAAACUAAACCAACACAAAACACAACGUUACAAAUAGUGUACUAGUGAAAAUAACAUGUCUGAUUGCACAUGCCUAGUUUGUGGGAUUAAUUUCAAUGUUAACCAGAAUCCUUAAAUAGUAGUUACUGUUUCAGGGCUCUGGUGAUGAUGUCUUACUAUGCCGUGCUGACCUGCUUUCCACCUUCAUGGUACAGUAAGCAGAAUCUGAGCUUUUGAAUGCAUGCUAAACUUUUUGCUAUAAAUAUACCAACACUGCAGCAGUGCUUUCAAUGAUAUCCUGUGAUUAUUGGAGUCAAUACAGUGACAUAAGUGUAUGGGUAAAAGUACACUUUGGUCUAUGCACAGACAAAGUAUGUGAUGGAACAGCAUGGUUAGCAGGUGACACAGCAAAUGUUCAGACUCACAUUUAUCUAACAGUGUUAGAUAAAUGAAAAUAUUCUGCACGUUCAUAUAAAUGAAUUAAUGAAACACUUCACUAAUAUUAACAUUAUAAACGAUCACAAUAGUGAUCUCCCUAUGACUGUUUAAUUCUGGAGCAAUUAGCACUAAAAACAGAACUGUGUAAAUGUUAGACUUUUCAUUAGGCUGACAUGUAGUAGUAAGUACAAAGUGUGAAGUAUAAGUAAACUGUUUUCUUUUCCAGUUUCAUUAGGAAAUUUAUGAUUACUCACUGUUUGUACACCAAACUUUAUGGUUCUUUCCCCCCAGUUUCUUAAAUUCUUAAGGACAGUGAAUUCAAGAAAAAAAAACAGCAAACAGACAUUUGUCACCAGCUGUCUUCAUGAGAAGUACACAGAAAGAAGAAGUGCAUGAUAUGUAUGUGGUCAGCAUUAGAGGGUUAAACCUCCAGAGCUCUGCAUAUCCUCACCAAACCACUUCCCCUUCAGAAACAAUACAUACCAAAAAAGAGACAGGAAAGAAAAUGUUCAAUGGGACCACCAAUAAAUUUUAAUGGGUUUUGUUGGUUGUUUUUGUGCGUUACUCUUUUCUGGCAUCAUUGUAUUAUACUCAAUUGUAUAUAGCAUUUCUAUUCUAUUUUAUUCUAUUGUAUGUAGUAUUUUAUUUUAUUCUAUUCUAUUAUGUACAGUUCUGCACAGUAUCUUAUUGAUAUCUUAUUCCAGUGGUUUUUUUUCUUCUAAUUUUUCUAUGUAACUUUGCACUGUCCACUGCUGUAACAAAACAAAUUUCCCACACGUGGGACUAAUAAAGGUUAUCUUAUCUUAUCUUAUCUUAUCUUAUCUUAUCUUAUCUUUUUCCUAAAUGUUAGCACUGGUGACAUGUGCUGCACAUUCCCUAUUUUAUCUUUUAUGAUGGAUAAUAUCUGCUGUAUCUCGGUUAUUGAGCUGGGAGAGGACAUCAGUGACAGUAACUGAUGUUUUAUUACAUAGUAUGUUUUUUUUUAUUUCAUUUUUUGCAGUCUGUCUGAGACCUCAGAGCCCAGUAUCAACUAGCAUUUAAUGUUCUCUCCAGUUAUCCUUCCUGUUCUUUCAUCUUCAAUUUUAAAUAUUUAAUUAAUGUUUGAACAGUUUUGUUUGUACUGACCCUUUUCUUAAAUAAUGCAUGAAUGGCUCUCCUUACAUUUCAGCUGUUAUAUGAUUGCAAAUUAUACUCAGACAGCAUUAAAAAAACAAGAUAAAAUGAUCUAAUAUAUGUUUAGAAUUGUGUGAAAACCUCAACAUAGUAUAUUCUCACACUCAUCAGUGUGUUAACCAUUUAUCUGUCAGAGGUUCAUCUGGUCAUCAUGAAACCUCCAGAGCUCUGCUGCUGUUGGACCCACAUUCUCACCAAAACACUUCCCCUUCACUUCUCAGAA
Long non-coding RNA from Oreochromis niloticus (Nile tilapia), 3577 nucleotides. NCBI's taxonomy places the organism in Eukaryota, Metazoa, Chordata, Actinopteri, Cichliformes, Cichlidae. The record is from Ensembl.